GAUUAAGUUAUUAAGGGCGCACGGUGGAUGCCUUGGCACUAGAAGCCGAUGAAGGACGUUACUAACGACGAUAUGCUUUGGGGAGCUGUAAGUAAGCUUUGAUCCAGAGAUUUCCGAAUGGGGAAACCCAGCAUGAGUUAUGUCAUGUUAUCGAUAUGUGAAUACAUAGCAUAUCAGAAGGCACACCCGGAGAACUGAAACAUCUUAGUACCCGGAGGAAGAGAAAGAAAAUUCGAUUCCCUUAGUAGCGGCGAGCGAAACGGGAAGAGCCCAAACCAACAAGCUUGCUUGUUGGGGUUGUAGGACACUCUAUACGGAGUUACAAAGGACGACAUUAGACGAAUCAUCUGGAAAGAUGAAUCAAAGAAGGUAAUAAUCCUGUAGUCGAAAAUGUUGUCUCUCUUGAGUGGAUCCUGAGUACGACGGAGCACGUGAAAUUCCGUCGGAAUCUGGGAGGACCAUCUCCUAAGGCUAAAUACUCUCUAGUGACCGAUAGUGAACCAGUACCGUGAGGGAAAGGUGAAAAGCACCCCGGAAGGGGAGUGAAAUAGAACCUGAAACCGUGUGCUUACAAGUAGUCAGAGCCCGUUAAUGGGUGAUGGCGUGCCUUUUGUAGAAUGAACCGGCGAGUUACGAUUUGAUGCAAGGUUAAGCAGUAAAUGUGGAGCCGUAGCGAAAGCGAGUCUGAAUAGGGCGUUUAGUAUUUGGUCGUAGACCCGAAACCAGGUGAUCUACCCUUGGUCAGGUUGAAGUUCAGGUAACACUGAAUGGAGGACCGAACCGACUUACGUUGAAAAGUGAGCGGAUGAACUGAGGGUAGCGGAGAAAUUCCAAUCGAACCUGGAGAUAGCUGGUUCUCUCCGAAAUAGCUUUAGGGCUAGCCUCAAGUGAUGAUUAUUGGAGGUAGAGCACUGUUUGGACGAGGGGCCCCUCUCGGGUUACCGAAUUCAGACAAACUCCGAAUGCCAAUUAAUUUAACUUGGGAGUCAGAACAUGGGUGAUAAGGUCCGUGUUCGAAAGGGAAACAGCCCAGACCACCAGCUAAGGUCCCAAAAUAUAUGUUAAGUGGAAAAGGAUGUGGCGUUGCCCAGACAACUAGGAUGUUGGCUUAGAAGCAGCCAUCAUUUAAAGAGUGCGUAAUAGCUCACUAGUCGAGUGACACUGCGCCGAAAAUGUACCGGGGCUAAACAUAUUACCGA
RNAcentral lists this ribosomal RNA (1199 nucleotides) under Staphylococcus aureus. Its description in RNAcentral is "partial 23S ribosomal RNA". It matches the Rfam family "Bacterial large subunit ribosomal RNA", at positions 1 to 1197 of the family's 2925-position model. The record is from RNAcentral. Lineage: Bacteria; Bacillati; Bacillota; Bacilli; Caryophanales; Staphylococcaceae.